This 253-nucleotide ribosomal RNA is filed under the name uncultured bacterium. Its description in RNAcentral is "partial 16S ribosomal RNA". It matches the Rfam family "Bacterial small subunit ribosomal RNA", at positions 524 to 776 of the family's 1533-position model. The record is from RNAcentral.
UACGAAGGGGGCUAGCGUUGCUCGGAAUUACUGGGCGUAAAGCGCACGUAGGCGGCUUCUUAAGUCGGAGGUGAAAUCCUGGAGCUCAACUCCAGAACUGCUUUCGAUACUGGGAAGCUCGAGUCCGGGAGAGGUGAGUGGAACUGCGAGUGUAGAGGUGAAAUUCGUAGAUAUUCGCAAGAACACCAGUGGCGAAGGCGGCUCACUGGCCCGGUACUGACGCUGAGGUGCGAAAGCGUGGGGAGCAAACAGG